AGAAUAGUCAGAAAACUUCUCAUAUUGAUAAACUCUUUUAUGCAAAUUUACAUUCUUUUUCUCUUGAUUCAGCAUCCUCCAAAUCCAAACUCAUGUAUGUUCUCCCUAUUUCUGCAAGUACACACCAGCAGGGUCUUAUAGCUCCAUCUGUGUAUAAUCCCUUUCUCCACUAGGAGACCCAGCAGUUUCCUAGCUAGUUUCUGUUGUGGCUUGAUCACAGUUACUGACCUAACAGCCAGGAGGGGAAGUGAGAAUAGACUAUAAAUGGGAUGAGCAGCCUUUAAGUUGUCUUCAAGCAGAAUGGAGUGGGUCACAUCUGCAGCUCCAUGUUUGGAGGCUCUGAAGUUUUAAGAUUCUCAAACGCACCAAGUUGAACUAACACAAAGGCUUCAGUCAGUCUCACUGGAAGCUCAAGAUAUGAUCCCUGUGUCAAGUCUUAACUCCUUGCUUCCCAGCUAGGGCCCAGGCCUUGGCAUAGCAGACUUGCCUAAGCCUCAGCUGCUUCUGCCCUCUGGCUGAAGGAGUUGAAACUCUCUUUGGAUGCUACCAUGACUCUUAUGACUCUGAUACUUUGCUUUAAUUUAAAUAGGUGAGUAGUUGUCCUUGGCCUUUUGCUUCUUUCUCCAGUGCUUGACAGCCUUCGGUCCUAAAGGGUGAAGGAAGCAUGCUCUAGCAGAGGGAGAAGUUGUACUGCAAUGCCAUCACAACACAGGCUUCAGACACUCCUACAGCCAGCUCUGGGUCUCUGAAGGUCCUCAGAGUUGUCUUGAUCUCAGGCCCAGGGGCUAGGGCCACCCCAGCCAAGAGGGACCAGUUAAUGGAGAAAACUUAAUCUUGGUACUUCAGCAUGCUCCAAGCUCAUCAUGUAUUUCCUGCUUUGGCCCUACAAUCAGCACAUUCCUCCUGGGACCCCUGGUUCCUUGGAUUGGAGAAGAGUACCAGAAACCAAGUUCUGGGCAUGAGGCAUGCUUGGGUAGGAUAACAGCACAUACCAGAGCUGAGUCAGGAGCAUUCUCUGAAAGCUGCUGCCAAGCCCCUGCAUCCCUGGACUGAGCGAGCAGGUUGGCACUGCCAUCUGGAACCUCUCUUCUACCUAGACAGCAAGCACAGAAGUGGAACUUUUGGGGAUUCAGUGGAGCUCAACCUCAUAAGCACAGCUCCUAUAAGAUCAGGGAGUCAUGGACGGGUUGCCAUGGACCAUGCCUUUCUACCCAAGCACAAAGAACUUGAUGGGGGUUCUGAGAAUGGAGAAAAGAAGGCUAGCUCCAAGAGCUGCAAGAGUUUUCCAGCAGCAGAAGAAACCAAAUGUGCCCAAGACUACCAGCUCUCCACCAAAGCUCAUUCCACACUCCUCCAAGAGUAUGGACUGGGUUACAAUUCCAAGUACAGAGAGAGAAGGUUGUCAUGUGACCAAAACCCAGCCAAAUGAAUGUGAGAAAAAAAUUGUAGGUAUCCUUUCAUUGCUCAGCGCGCCUCUUUGAACAUCUUCCUCCAAUCAGUGGCUGUCACUAAGAUGUACAUUCAAAUGAUGACAAUGACCUAUUUUUGAUGACUUUUUGGAGCACAGCUCAACUAUCCCUCCUGGACUGAUGUGUGGAAGAGAAAUAAACUUGUUUCAGUCUUUGCAUUUCUGAAUGCUAACAUUACUUUAUUAAGGUAUCAUUUAUAUAUAGCAAAGUAUAUACACCUUAAGUGUACAGUUUGGUGAAUUCGUGAAAAAGAUUACAUGAGCCAUCAGCCCACACUAUAUAUAAUAUUUCCAUCUUCCCUGGAAAUUUUCUCAUUGCUCUGUCUAGGCAGCCUCAUCCCUCAUCCCUACCUCUGCCCCUACCACCAGGCAAACACUGUUUUGAUUUUUAUCAACAUGAAUUAGUUUUGCCUAUUCCUAAAUCUCCUGUAAUGGAAAUAUAUAUGAGCUCACUAUGAACUCUGUUGUAUCUGACUUUUUUCAUUCAGUGUAAUGAUUUUGAGAUUCGCUCAUAUUGUUGAAUAUUAUCAGGAGUUUGUUCUUUUUUA
Molecule: non-coding RNA, 2016 nt
Organism: Heterocephalus glaber (naked mole-rat)
Lineage: Eukaryota; Metazoa; Chordata; Mammalia; Rodentia; Bathyergidae
Source: RefSeq, a predicted model, not a curated record